GACCGACUGGUGUAGUGGUUAUCACGUCUCGUUCACAGUCUCCGAGAAGGUGCCAGGUUCGAUCCCUGGGUCGGUCA
RNAcentral lists this transfer RNA (77 nucleotides) under Thermochaetoides thermophila DSM 1495. RNAcentral's name for it is "Chaetomium thermophilum var. thermophilum DSM 1495 tRNA-Val". Lineage: Eukaryota; Fungi; Ascomycota; Sordariomycetes; Sordariales; Chaetomiaceae. The record is from RNAcentral.